UGACAGAAAACCCAGAACUGACUAAAACACUUUCUGCCAUUGGGAGGCAUGGGAACUCAGUAUGGCAUUAGAUAAAAAGUUUUACAGUAUGACCAGACAGCAGUCACAUCUUUUGUAACUACAUUUGGCAAACUACAUGCUGGGGAUGACAAGCAUCAUGGAAUGAAGUAUUGAAACAGUGACACGACUCCUACAAAGUCACAGGUAUAAUAAUGAAAAAUAACUCAACGUAUUCUGGGCCCCCACCCAAUGCUCAUUCCAGAUAAAGCUCACUGAAUUUGAAG
Molecule: long non-coding RNA, 284 nt
Organism: Callithrix jacchus (white-tufted-ear marmoset)
Lineage: Eukaryota; Metazoa; Chordata; Mammalia; Primates; Cebidae
Source: RefSeq, a predicted model, not a curated record